GCUUCUGGGGCGCAAUUGGUUAGCGCGUUCGACUGUUAAUCGAGAGUUGGAAGUUCUAGCCUUCCCGGGGGGCG
RNAcentral lists this transfer RNA (74 nucleotides) under Blastomyces gilchristii SLH14081. RNAcentral describes it as "tRNA-Asn (GTT) (tRNA-Asn-GTT-3-1)". It matches the Rfam family "tRNA". Rfam says of the family: Transfer RNA (tRNA) molecules are approximately 80 nucleotides in length. Their secondary structure includes four short double-helical elements and three loops (D, anti-codon, and T loops). RNAcentral also lists the same sequence under 1 other name. The record is from RNAcentral. Lineage: Eukaryota; Fungi; Ascomycota; Eurotiomycetes; Onygenales; Ajellomycetaceae.